This 500-nucleotide ribosomal RNA is filed under the name uncultured bacterium. Its description in RNAcentral is "partial 16S ribosomal RNA". It matches the Rfam family "Bacterial small subunit ribosomal RNA", at positions 29 to 523 of the family's 1533-position model. The record is from RNAcentral.
AUUGAACGCUGGCGGCAUGCCUUACACAUGCAAGUCGAACGGCAGCACGGGAGCAAUCCUGGUGGCGAGUGGCGAACGGGUGAGUAAUAUAUCGGAACGUGCCCAGUCGUGGGGGAUAACGAAGCGAAAGCUGUGCUAAUACCGCAUACGAUCUACGGAUGAAAGCGGGGGAUCGCAAGACUUCGCGCGAUUGGAGCGGCCGAUAUCAGAUUAGCUAGUUGGUGGGGUAAAGGCACACCAAGGCGAAGAGCUGUAGCUGGUCUGAGAGGACGACCAGCGACACUGGAACUGAGACACGGUCCAGACUCCUACGGGAGGCAGCAGUGGGGAAUUGUGGACAAUGGGCGAAAGCCUGAUCCAGCAAUGCCGCGUGCAGGACGAAGGCCUUCGGGUUGUAAACUGCUUUUGUACGGAACGAAACGGUCUCUUCUAAUAAAGGGGGCUAAUGACGGUACCGUAAGAAUAAGCACCGGCUAACUACGUGCCAGCCGCCGCGGUAA